Molecule: long non-coding RNA, 1972 nt
Organism: Lagopus muta (rock ptarmigan)
Lineage: Eukaryota; Metazoa; Chordata; Aves; Galliformes; Phasianidae
Exons: 6
Source: RefSeq, a predicted model, not a curated record
UGUGGGUCUGAUCGUGCAUUGUUCUUUGAGUUUUCUGGUUUGACUGUAUAUCUCUUGUAGUCUUCCUGAUGACUGUUGGUGACUCGCUGCUGCUCUGCUCAACCAGCUCCUGUGCUGUGGGACCAUGCUCUUGCAGGCAGAGGACUUCUCCUGAUGAGAGGCUGGAGAGAGCUGGGGCACGUACAAGGUGUGGCUGAAGCCUGUUUCUGCUGACUAGCAACUGCUUUGGGUUACCAUUAACUCACUGCCAUGUUGGACACUUGUACAUCAGUUCAUGGGAGUGCUUUCUCAAGUUGGAAGAAAUCUUUGCAUCCAUUGGAAACUGCUUAUGACUUUAAUGCUGUCAUAAAGAACGUACAUAUUAGGAAAAAAAAGAAUCACAGAUACUGCUGUUCAAUCUCAUCUUAAACCCUACAUGAAACCCAAUAACUACUGUCGUGUGAAGAGACAUCUGCAUUGUUUGCGUGGGCUUCGCAGUCUCUUACUCAGGCUUUCCUUUCAUGACAUUUAGGAGGAAAGGAGGAAAGGAAACUGCUGUUGAAUAUGAGAUGCCUGGGAUUUCUGUUUUAUUAUACUUUUUAAAUAUUUGAACUCUGCUUCAGGACGGAACAAAUUAGAGUUGAAACUGCAGGGUGGACGGAACCUAAUUAUUUCUGCCCAAAUUCCUUUCUUCAAUAGAGGUAGUAUCGUCCAAAAAAAGCAAAAUAGAAUGAAUAGCUGAAGCCCUAUAUAGAGCUAAUAGUCCUGUAUCAAGGUUGUUCAGAUAGGCUGCUUUGCUAUGUUUUGUUUCUUUUUCUUCCUUUUUUUUUUAUUCCCAGUCCCCUAGCCCUUCUGCCUCCUUUUGUUAUUCAGUAUGUGUUUGUCACAGACUGUCUCUUGUUUAGAAACAAAUGCAUUCAGACAUCUUUGGUACUUACAAAAGCAUAGUCUCAUAUUAUGGCAAUCAUUAACAUAACAGUAACACACAAGAGUUGUUCCAGCAUAUUGAAAAACCUGUGAAGCUUUCAGUGCACUCAGUGACUGUAUGAGAUAGCAAUGAAAGGCAAAUAUCUACCUAAAUGUGAAUUUCCACCUCACUGUAACAUCUAAAUGGAAUUACAUCCCGCGUUGUUGAGAAGAUUCAUUAAAGGGACAUAGAAUCUUAAGACUGAGUACCGUCUUGUUUUGUAGUGGGAAGCUAUGUGGGAUACUGCAACCUUUACAUAUUUAAAAUAUCAUUAUUGUAACGUAGAGUGAAUCAGCCCUGCACUAUUUAUGUUUAUGGUGUAAUAAAUACAGUGUGCCAAGAAACUAUCUUGGAAGAGGCUGUAGUAAGGGAAAGCAGAUCUUUAUUAAUUGCACUAGUAGCAUUAGAGGAACUCAUUUUAUAGUUCUUUAUGUAGUACACAAGAAAUCAGGAAAUAAAAGAUCUCCACGUUUUACUUUAGCUUUCUGCCUUCUCAGUUGAUAUUUUUGAAGAGACCAAAUAGCACUUAACAAGACCCUUUUUCCCUUCCUAGCAUCAUCUCCAGUAAGGUCCCUACUCAGCUGACUCUCUGUGGCACUCAGCAACAUAUAAUCAAUAAUGAUCUUUUCAGUUGGUUGUGUGCCCUAUGCAAGUCUAUUAAUGUUGUUGCAAAAGCAUUUGAGGUAUAUUUUAAGUGGCUAUCUUCUAUUUCUGUGUUCUUAGGUGUCCUGCUCUCCCAUAUAAUUUGCACUACCGUGCUGCCGUAGCCCAAUGAUAGCUAGCAGACCUGUAGAAAAUAAUAUGAAUUGUUUAACUUGUCAAACAAACUAGGCUUUCAUGGCCAGCAUGAUGUGUAUAUGUAACUGUAUAAAACUGUGGAUUUAUCUGUAUUUUGAGCAAAAAUGCACUAACUCACCAUAGAUAUGGAAUUAGACGUAGCAGUUUGUUCACGAAGGCACUACUACUGCACUAAGUUAUAAUGUUCAGUUGUAUUGCUUGUAAGUUCAUUUUAUUUUGAAUAAUAAA